AGCUUUGCACAGUGGCAGUAUUGUAGCCAAUGAGGUUUAUCCGAGGCGUGAUUAUUGCUAAUUGAAAACUUUUCCCAAUACCCCGCCAUGAUGACUUGAAAUACAGUCAGCAUUGGCAAUUUCUGACAGUCUCUAUGGAGA
RNAcentral lists this small nuclear RNA (141 nucleotides) under Cebus imitator (Panamanian white-faced capuchin). RNAcentral describes it as "U4 spliceosomal RNA (ENSCCAG00000003915.1)". It matches the Rfam family "U4 spliceosomal RNA". From Rfam's summary of the family: U4 small nuclear RNA (U4 snRNA) is a component of the major U2-dependent spliceosome. The structure of U4 snRNA from yeast and human has been reported. Lineage: Eukaryota; Metazoa; Chordata; Mammalia; Primates; Cebidae. The record is from Rfam by way of RNAcentral.